Molecule: transfer RNA, 85 nt
Organism: Spiribacter salinus M19-40
Lineage: Bacteria; Pseudomonadati; Pseudomonadota; Gammaproteobacteria; Chromatiales; Ectothiorhodospiraceae
Rfam family: tRNA
About the family: Transfer RNA (tRNA) molecules are approximately 80 nucleotides in length. Their secondary structure includes four short double-helical elements and three loops (D, anti-codon, and T loops).
Source: Rfam
GGAGAGGUGGCUGAGUGGUCGAAAGCGCCGCACUCGAAAUGCGGUGAACCGAAAGGUUCCGGGGGUUCGAAUCCCUCCCUCUCCG